Molecule: RNA transcript, 2689 nt
Organism: Vitis riparia (riverbank grape)
Lineage: Eukaryota; Viridiplantae; Streptophyta; Magnoliopsida; Vitales; Vitaceae
Exons: 3
Source: RefSeq, a predicted model, not a curated record
AGAUUUUGUAUCCUGUGCGCGGGCUGGACUGGUAGGAAAUAUCGGGAAAUUUCCCGAAAAAUCGGAAAAAAAAUCGGCGAUACAAACUGAAAAUUCGCCGAUAAAUUGCAGUGUCCGGCGAUUUUUUGAAGAUUUCGCCGAUUUUUCGCCUGCAUCCAUUUUCGGCGAUUUUGCCGCCGAUUUUAACCGAAAUUUGGCGAAAUUUCUCCCAUCGACAUUUCGCCCCCCUCUUUCGUAUCGCCGGCCACCGAAACCCGAAUUUCGGCGAAAAAAAUGGAAACUUUCAUCCUUGGUUCUUCCCAAGUGCUUCAUAGAAUCAGAGCUGGGUGGCACUGAAAUUCGGUAGGUUGCCCAGCUUCUCGGCACAGCACAGCACCCGAAUCGCUAAUUGCAUGGUAAAAUCACUACUCCAAUCUCAGAAAAAUGAAAAUGGCGAUGAACAAACUCCGUAAAACCCUACCAAAACCUCUUCACCCUCCGUCACAAUUCACUCCUCCAACUUCAAGCCCUAACCUCAUUUCUUCCACUCCCAUCCCCACACUGUCUCUUGCAAACACAUCCCACCAUCAACUCCACCAAUUCCUCAAAGCCCACCUCACUCCCUCCUUCACACCCCGAGACCUCCUAAUCUUCCUCAAGAACAAGCUCCAUUACCAUCCCAAAUUUUCCCACUUCGACCUCCACAUCUUCACAUGGGCCGCCACCAUCGACUCCUUCCGCCACGACCACUCCACCUAUGAGUGGAUGGUCAAAACUCUUGCCAUCACCGACCGUUUCGAUGAUCUUCACUCUCUCCUUCAAGGUAUGGUCUCCAACCCCUGUCCCUGUUCCGAUGGAAUUUUCUCCUGCCCGAGGUCUGAACCCAUUUUCAGAUUUGCGCUAAAUGCUUUUUGUAGGGUUGGGAGGUUGGAGGAUGCUGAGAUUGCUUUUGCAAGUAUGCGAAGAAUGAUUGAUGGGAAACCUAGUGUAGCAAUGCAUAAUAUUUUGAUUAAUGGGUAUGUCAAAUGUAGAGAGCAUGAGAAAGUGAUGACUGUUUAUGAGAAGAUGAUUAAGGAUAGGGUCAAGCCUGAUGUCUUUACAUUCAAUAGCUUGAUCAGUAGUUGUUGUCGGAAUUCACAGUUCGGGUUGGCUCUGGAAAUGUUUAAAGAGAUGAAGGAUAAGGGAUGUAGUCCUAAUGUUGUUAGUUUUAACACUUUGAUUAAGGGGUCUUUCAGGGAAAGGAAGUUUGAAGAGGGGGUUGGGAUGGCAUAUGAGAUGCUUGAGUUGGGAUGUGAGUUUUCAAAUGUGACUUGUGAAAUUCUAGUGGAUGGGCUCUGCAGGGAAGGUAGGGUUUUAGAGGCAUGUGAUCUCUUGAUUGAUUUUUCAGGGAAAGGAGCAUUGCCUAAUGGGUUUGAUUAUUUUUGUCUCAUUGAGGCGCUUUGUGGUGAAGAAAAUGUGGAUCGGGCAUUGGAACUAUUGGAUCAGCUAUGGAGGAAAGGAAAUGCACCAAGCUCGAUUGCAUGUACUACUUUGAUAGAAGGAUUGAGGAGGUUCGGAAAAACAGAAGAAGCAUUUCAAUUAAUGGAAAAGAUGCUGAGAGAGGGCAUUCUUCCAGAUAGUGUGACUUGCAAUUGUUUGCUUCAGGAUCUUUGUGAGGUGGGGAGAAGUUUUGAAGCAAAUAAGUUGAGGUUGUUGGCCUCUAGCAAGGGUUUGGAUUCAGAUGGCAUGACCUUUAACAUUCUAGUUAAUGGGUAUUCCAGGGAAGGUAAAAGGAAGGAGGGGAAACGUUUGUUGGAUGAGAUGUUAGAUUUGGGGUUUAUACCUGAUCUUGCCUCAUAUAACAGGUUGAUGAAUGGGCUUUCUAAUGGAGGAAGCUCUCACCGACAUAAGUAAACCUUAUUACCAAAUGAAGACAUUGAAAUUUUCAGGCUGCAUUUUGUAGCGGUUGUAAUAUUUACUUGGGAUUGAAGGGGUUGUGGCUCCAUUUACAAGGAAGACAUGGUGUUGCCCUCGAGGAGAAGGAAAGUUCAAAGGGAAUGAGAUGAACUAAAAAAAUUGAACCAUUGUAAUGGUUGGUGUAAUCAUGGACUUUGAGCUGGAGCUCUGGAACCAUCAGUUAAGUUUGGAUGCAAUGCAAGCAUGAAGUGAUUGCUAAGCAGUUUUACUAAGACUUGGAGUUUCGUAGCAAUUGAGUUGGAGGAUUUCUUUUUACCUACAAACCAACUGAAUAGGGAGGGGGUUGAACAGCUGCUACUUGAAUCCAGCAAAGAUCAUGCCAUCAUCUGUGAUUUGGAUACCCUUGAAAAAAUUGCAGUGAGAGGGUUGUCUCUUGCUUUGUCUCAUGGAGAGUGCUUUGGUAUGUUUGGUCCCAAUGGUGCAGACAAAAACUCUUUCAUUAGUAUGGCAGUGGAAGAAUUUGUUGAGUGUCAACCUACUUCAUGGAGGGGCUGGUGACAAGCAGGCUCGAAAAUACAGGGGAGAGAUGAACAGGAGGCUUUUGUUGCCAUUUCAAUGAUUGAAGAUCCCAAAGUAUAUGUUAACCUUCAUACCAAUGUUUUAAAAGUUGGACUAGGCCGGCUAGUUCAAUUAGUCAAACCAUCGACUGGAGCCAAUUUGGGCUUUGGCCUGGAAUAAUACAUACUAAACCAGCAUCGAGCUGGGUGAAUUGGCAGUUGAACCGCUGAAACAGGGAACAGACUAGUCGGUUUUA